GGUUCCCAAACCAGUCCUCAUGGCCCACCAACAGUCCAGAAUUUAUAUAUUUCCCUGUUUUAUUCCAAUGGAGAUACUAACAAAACCUGGACUGUUGGUGGGUCUUGAGGAUUGGUUUGGGAAA
Pelobates cultripes (western spadefoot toad) is the source of this 124-nucleotide non-coding RNA. Lineage: Eukaryota; Metazoa; Chordata; Amphibia; Anura; Pelobatidae. The record is from the annotation of a GenBank genome assembly.